Molecule: ribosomal RNA, 493 nt
Filed under: uncultured bacterium
Lineage: Bacteria
Description: partial 16S ribosomal RNA
Rfam family: Bacterial small subunit ribosomal RNA
Source: RNAcentral
GACGAACGCUGGCGGCGUGCUUAACACAUGCAAGUCGAACGGUGAAGGGACCGGUUUUUGCUGGUUCUGGAUGAGUGGCGAACGGGUGAGUAACACGUGAGUAACCUGCCCCCUUCUUCUGGAUAACCGCAUGAAAGUGUGGCUAAUACGGGAUAUUCUGCGCCUGCUGCAUGGUGGGUGUGGGAAAGAUAUUGUUUCGGUGGGGGAUGGGCUCGCGGCCUAUCAGCUUGUUGGUGGGGUGAUGGCCUACCAAGGCGGUGACGGGUAGCCGGCCUGAGAGGGUGGACGGUCACACUGGGACUGAGACACGGCCCAGACUCCGACGGGAGGCAGCAGUGGGGAAUAUUGCACAAUGGGCGCAAGCCUGAUGCAGCGACGCCGCGUGAGGGAUGGAGGCCUUCGGGUUGUAAACCUCUUUCGCCAGUGAAGCAGGCCUGUCCCUUUUGUGGGUGGGUUGACGGUAGCUGGAGAAGAAGCGCCGGCUAACUACGUG